GCGUCGGUGGUGUAGUGGUUAACAUAGUUGCCUUCAAAGCAAUUGUCCCUGGUUCGAUUCCCGGCCGAUGCA
Molecule: transfer RNA, 72 nt
Filed under: Anneissia japonica
Lineage: Eukaryota; Metazoa; Echinodermata; Crinoidea; Comatulida; Comatulidae
Description: tRNA-Sec
Rfam family: tRNA
About the family: Transfer RNA (tRNA) molecules are approximately 80 nucleotides in length.
Source: RNAcentral